UGUCAUGUAAUUUUUCAGAUGCUUGCAUGCAUCUUAUUUGAUGUUUUGAGAGGCCUGUGUGCCUCCUAAAAGGAGAUGUAAUUUAUUUUUAUUUUUAUUUUACAUCUGGUUGUAUUUCUGUGAUGUGAUGUACGUCAACGAUCAAGUCGAAGAUGAUGCAUGAGAUGAGCAGGGGUCUAAGCGGUUGAUGGCGAUUGGAUCAAGAGUUGGUCAAGGAUCGAAUCAAGGAGGCUUGGAACCAAUUCAAGAGUUGAAGAUAAGUUGAUCGAUUGACGUGCAUGUGCUUGUAAUACAACCUAACUAGAAUCCAUGAUCAUCACCUAUUUAAAGUUUAGCUUUAAUUAUUGCUGCGAUUAUAACUGCCUGCAAUGUGCCAUUUGCAUGUGAUGUGAAUGAGAGUCGGGUAGAUAGGUUUACAUGUGAUGU
This 426-nucleotide long non-coding RNA is filed under the name Phoenix dactylifera (date palm). RNAcentral's name for it is "long non-coding RNA (PDAC_LNC011825)". Lineage: Eukaryota; Viridiplantae; Streptophyta; Magnoliopsida; Arecales; Arecaceae. The record is from RNAcentral.